CCGGCGAUUAAGCACUUACCAUGUGCCUCUCCUGCUUCAGGGCACCACGCCAGCCUAUAAGCAGCCGCAGGGGUUGAGCCCUGCAGAGCCCCAGAGGCAGAGCUGCCCAAGGCUUUGGGAGCCCACCUCUUGCAUCACUGUGCCCUGGAUGUGAGACGUGGAAUCAAGGAGAUUAUUUUGGAGCUUUAAGACGUAAUGGCACCCUGCUGGGUUUCAGACUUGAGUGGAGCCUGCAGCCUUUCUUUCGGCCGGUUUCUCCCUUUUGGAACGGGAGUAUUUACCCAAUGCCUGUACCCCCAUGGCCACUUCCAGCAUCGAUGGUGUCAGGUCAGGUCCUCUGGGUAGAAGAAAUGGAGUCAGUUAGGAGUGCUGGAGACUGAGUAAGAGGUGGCAGCUGAGGCUUACUACCCCAGGAAAGGGAUGCCACCAGAGAAGGCAGACAACCAAGAUGGCGACUCUCAAUUUUUGAGCUCCUAAUUUUCUCAUGUCAGACAUAAGAAAAAAAAAUAUUUUUUAAAGAAAAAGCUUUAGGUUGCAAAAAUCUAGGCCUUUCAACUUUAAAAUCCUAUUCUUGCAAGCCUUGGAGAAUAAAGCUUAUGCAUAAACAGUAGAUUUGGAAACAGAAAUAUGCCUAAUUACCCAGAGCCAUUCUUUCAAUACGCCAGUGAUUGUUUAAAGAUUCUAUAGGCUGGAGUCAAUGGCAGGAGGCGGGUGGGAAAAGAGUCAAGAGGGAGGAGAGAAGAAGCAAGAGGGUUGGGUAGAUAUUGUCACAUGACCCUGAGAGGAGGAUUCUGGGUCAAACCCCUAGGGGGUUGUGUGUAAUGGAGACUCCAGAUCCAUUUGGGAAUCUGGCUCCAAAGAAGACUUCACCUUGCCUUCUGAGUGGAGCCCUGAAGUGGCAAGACUCAUAGAAUUCCCCCACGGGUCCACACAAGAGAGAAUGAAUAGAGAAGGCUGCGUGCUGGCUGGACCAAGGCAGCCUCGGGUGACACCACCACCACCACCGCCGCUGCCGCCAUCGCCAUCACCACUGCCGCUGCCAUCACCGCCACCACCACCACCAUCACCACCACCAUCACCACAUUAUGGACAAUAGCCCAAUGUUUCCUGAGUUCCCUAGAGGGUUGAAAGAGAAUAGGACCUAGAGAGAUCACAUAGUUGGGACAGGCACUCAUUAAUUUGAUCCAAUGACAAGAGACCAGAUGGGAAGAAGGAUGCCUUGAGAGAUGUCAGUGUGCACCCAUGGAUAGAAGCAGCUGGUGACUGGGUACUUGGGAAGCCACAUGGACACACACAAAGCUCCUGGAAGACGUUUUCAAGGAGUUGGGCUGUGCUGGGAUCCAGAACUGGCUGAAGAAACCAUGAGCUGACAUAAAAUUUCUGCCACCUAGCAGAAUGGAGGCUCCAUUUGGAAAUUAAAUUAUAUACUUAAAAAAACUAUAAUUGCUUCAUUUCUUUUUUUUGAGAUGGAGUUUCACUCUUGUUGCCCAGGCUGUAGUGCAAUGGCACCAUCUCAGCUCACUGCAAACUCCGCUCCCGGGUUCAAGAGGUGAUCCUGCCUCAGCCUCCCGAGUAGCUAGGAUUACAGGUGUGCGGCCACCAUGCCCCGCUAAUUUUGUAUUUUCAGUAGAGACGGGGUUUUACCAUGUUGGUCAAGCUGGUCUCAAACUCCUGACCUCAAAUGAUCCACCCACUUUGGCCUCCCAAAGUGCCAGGAUUACAGGCAUGAGCCACUGCGUGAAGCCAAAUGCUUCAUUUCUUUUUUUCUUUUUUUUUGUUGAGAGGGAGUCUCACUCUGCCGCCCAGGCUGGAGUGCAGUGCCGCAAUCUCGGCUCACUGCAAGCUCCCGCGUUCACGCCAUUCUCCUGCCUCAGCCUCCCGAGUAGCUGGGACUACGGGCGCCCGCCACCACGCCUAGCUAAUUUUGUUUUGUACUUUUAGUAGAGCCGGGGUUUCACCGUGUUAGCCAGGACGGUCUCGAUCUCCUGACCUCGUGAUCCGCCCGCCUGGGCCUCCCAAAGUGCUGGGAUUACAGGCGUGAGCCACCGCGCCCGGCCUGCUUCAUUCCUUAUACAUCUGAGUUGGCCAUCUGAGAUUUUGUUUCUACUACACAGCACUACGGCAAGGAUUACGCGAAACCACCUAGUCCCUAGUAUGGUUCCUGCCAUGUAAUCAGGACACAGCAGAUCGCAGCUGGGUAUUUUCCAUUUUCCUCCGGAUCUGCUCUGCACCCUUCUCCACUGGCCCUCAGCUGUGGGAAGCUGACCUCAUGGACUGCAGGCCUAGAGGUAAGCAGCCCUGGACUGUUGCAGCUACUCAAGAAGGUGUGGCCUUUGCUUCCUGGCACUCAGAUGGCAGCUGACCUCUAG
This 2369-nucleotide long non-coding RNA is filed under the name Homo sapiens (human). Its description in RNAcentral is "HSALNT0027472". Lineage: Eukaryota; Metazoa; Chordata; Mammalia; Primates; Hominidae. The record is from RNAcentral.